AUUGAACGCUGGCGGCAUGCUUUACACAUGCAAGUCGAACGGUAACAGGCCUUCGGGUGCUGACGAGUGGCGAACGGGUGAGUAAUGCAUCGGAACAUACCCAGUCGUGGGGGAUAACGUAGCGAAAGUUACGCUAAUACCGCAUACGUCCUGAGGGAGAAAGCGGGGGAGUCGCAAGACCUCGCGCGAUUGGAGUGGCCGAUGUCAGAUUAGCUAGUUGGUGGGUAAAGGCCCACCAACGGCGACGAUCUGUAGCGGGUCUGAGAGGAUGAUCCGCCACACUGGGACUGAGACACGGCCCAGACUCCUACGGGAGGCAGCAGUGGGGAAUUUUGGACAAUGGGGGAAACCCGUGAUCCAGCCAUGCCGCGUGCGGGAAG
This 380-nucleotide ribosomal RNA is filed under the name uncultured bacterium. Its description in RNAcentral is "bacterial SSU rRNA". It matches the Rfam family "Bacterial small subunit ribosomal RNA", at positions 30 to 410 of the family's 1533-position model. The record is from RNAcentral.